AGUGAACGCUGGCGGUAGGCCUAACACAUGCAAGUCGAACGGCAGCACAGUAAGAGCUUGCUCUUACGGGUGGCGAGUGGCGGACGGGUGAGGAAUACAUCGGAAUCUACUUUUUCGUGGGGGAUAACGUAGGGAAACUUACGCUAAUACCGCAUACGACCUACGGGUGAAAGCAGGGGUUCUUCGGACCUUGCGCGAUUGCAUGAGCCGAUGUCGGAUUAGCUAGUUGGCGGGGUAAAGGCCCACCAAGGCGACGAUCCGUAGCUGGUCUGAGAGGAUGAUCAGCCACACUGGAACGGAGACACGGUACAGACUGCUACGGGGGGCAGCAGUGGGGAAUAUUGGACAAUGGGCGCAAGCCUGAUCCAGCCAUACCGCGUGGGUGAAGAAGGCCUUCGGGUUGUAAAGCCCUUUUGUUGGGAAAGAAAAGCAGCAGGUUAAUACCCCGCUGUUCUGACGGUACCCAAAGAAUAAGCACCGGCUAACUUCGUG
Molecule: ribosomal RNA, 492 nt
Filed under: uncultured bacterium
Lineage: Bacteria
Description: partial 16S ribosomal RNA
Rfam family: Bacterial small subunit ribosomal RNA
Source: RNAcentral